This 855-nucleotide long non-coding RNA is filed under the name Rattus norvegicus (Norway rat). Its description in RNAcentral is "long non-coding RNA NONRATT028278". Lineage: Eukaryota; Metazoa; Chordata; Mammalia; Rodentia; Muridae. The record is from RNAcentral.
GGUGAGACUAUCUCAAAACACAUGCCCAUAUACACGCAUAUACACAAGCACCUACAGUUGUAGACUAAGCUUCUGGCAUUAGUAACUUUUACAUGCUGUUAGUGGUCUGUAUUGGUCAUUUUACACAGUGACCUAUCUUUAACAUUUCUAGUUCUGCUCUUAUUGUAAAGAACUCUCCAUUGACCCUCUCAGUUGACCCUCCUGUCUUUAUAUAAGUCUCUUGUAGCUGGUAAACACGUUCAAACAUGUAUGCUUUGUAAACAAGCAGCAAACUGGGUGUGGCCUCACCUAGAAGAUGAGUCUCUGGCUUUAUGUUUUUGACUCUGUACUGAUAUCAAGUAAAUGCAUUUCUAGUCCACUUGGUGAAAACGGGUAUUACCUGAGAGACUAAUUGGUGGCAUCUCUUGUCUUUUAAGGCACAUAAAAGCUCGAAAGGAAGCAGUGCUUGUGGAAAAAGAGAGAUCUGCUAAAAUGGCCAGGCUGCCACCACCUGUCCCGUCCCCCUUUGAGAACAUUGACAUAAACAGAAUUCCUUCAUUGAAAACCAACCGUUCCACCUACCAUCAUAUUUCUGCCUUUGUGAGUAGACAGAUGGGUACAAAGCAGGUGAUUGACUUACUGUUUGUUCAUGACCUCACUUGAGCAUUUCUGUGUUUUAUCAGUUGAGUUUUAUCUUGAUUCUGUGUCUGGUGUGGCCAGUUCUCAAAAUUUAAACAAUCCUGCUAACUUCUCUAGAGAACACAAAGUCUUCUAAGUGUGCUUUGAAUUUUCAUGUCAGAUAUGGUGGUCCUGUAAACUGGAAGAAAUCCAUGAUGUUUGUGACUGUCUUUUACAUAAUAAAUUAUUUUUAUCAUA